GAUGAACGCUGGCGGCGUGCCUAAUACAUGCAAGUCGAGCGAACAGACGAGGAGCUUGCUCCUCUGACGUUAGCGGCGGACGGGUGAGUAACACGUGGAUAACCUACCUAUAAGACUGGGAUAACUUCGGGAAACCGGAGCUAAUACCGGAUAAUAUAUUGAACCGCAUGGUUCAAUAGUGAAAGACGGUUUUGCUGUCACUUAUAGAUGGAUCCGCGCCGCAUUAGCUAGUUGGUAAGGUAACGGCUUACCAAGGCGACGAUGCGUAGCCGACCUGAGAGGGUGAUCGGCCACACUGGAACCGAGACACGGUCCAGACUCCUACGGGAGGCAGCAGUAGGGAAUCUUCCGCAAAGGGCGAAAGCCUGACGGAGCAACGCCGCGUGAGUGAUGAAGGUCUUCGGAUCGUAAAACUCUGUUAUUAGGGAAGAACAAAUGUGUAAGUAACUAUGCACGUCUUGACGGUACCUAAUCAGAAAGCCACGGCUAACUACGUG
This 497-nucleotide ribosomal RNA is filed under the name uncultured bacterium. RNAcentral's name for it is "partial 16S ribosomal RNA". It matches the Rfam family "Bacterial small subunit ribosomal RNA", at positions 28 to 507 of the family's 1533-position model. The record is from RNAcentral.